This 374-nucleotide unclassified non-coding RNA is filed under the name uncultured fungus. RNAcentral describes it as "partial contains 5.8S ribosomal RNA, internal transcribed spacer 2, and large subunit ribosomal RNA". Lineage: Eukaryota; Fungi. The record is from RNAcentral.
AACGCAUAUGGCACCCGAGACCUCGGUCGAGGGUAUGUCUGUCUCAGAGUCGGCGUAAAAACAUCCCCAAAGGAAGAAGCCAACCGACCCGACCCCUUCAAGGGGGGGAGGAAGGAGGCGUCCGUCCGGCGGGGGAGCUGGCCUUCCCGGGCCCUGGCGGCCCGGGUCGGCUGAAGGGGAGAGACGGGGGACCGCACGCGCGGACAGCCACGAUUUUGGUGGGAGGACCCAGCGUCCGCAUCAUCGAUCGAGGCCGUCCUGUCGAAAGCGUCGGGAAGCAGGAGCCCCCGCCCUCGCAGGAAAGCCAAGGAAGCAGCGAUGCUUCCCGCCGUGGUUCCGACCUGAGAUCAGGCAAGAUCACCCGCUGAACUUAA